UACGUAGGGGGCAAGCGUUGUCCAGAUUUAUUGGGCGUAAAGAGCGUGUAGGCGGCCAGGUAGGUCUGCUGUGAAAACUCGAGGCUUAACCUCGAGCUGUCGGCGGAAACCAUCUGGCUAGAGUCCGGAAGAGGAGAAUGGAAUUCCCGGUGUAGCGGUGAAAUGCGCAGAUAUCGGGAAGAACACCCGUGGCGAAGGCGGUUCUCUGGGACGGUACUGACGCUGAGACGCGAAAGCGUGGGGAGCGAACAGG
Molecule: ribosomal RNA, 253 nt
Filed under: uncultured bacterium
Lineage: Bacteria
Description: partial 16S ribosomal RNA
Rfam family: Bacterial small subunit ribosomal RNA
Source: RNAcentral